RNAcentral lists this ribosomal RNA (468 nucleotides) under uncultured bacterium. Its description in RNAcentral is "partial 16S ribosomal RNA". It matches the Rfam family "Bacterial small subunit ribosomal RNA", at positions 28 to 507 of the family's 1533-position model. The record is from RNAcentral.
GACGAACGCUGGCGGCGUGCUUAACACAUGCAAGUCGAACGGAAAGGCCCUGCUUUUGUGGGGUGCUCGAGUGGCGAACGGGUGAGUAACACGUGAGUAACCUGCCCUUGACUUUGGGAUAACUUCAGGAAACUGGGGCUAAUACCGGAUAGGAGCUCCUGCUGCAUGGUGGGGGUUGGAAAGUUUCGGCGGUUGGGGAUGGACUCGCGGCUUAUCAGCUUGUUGGUGGGGUAGUGGCUUACCAAGGCUUUGACGGGUAGCCGGCCUGAGAGGGUGACCGGCCACAUUGGGACUAAGAUACGGCCCAGACUCCUACAGGAGGCAGCAGUGGGGAAUAUUGCACAAUGGGCGGAAGCCUGAUGCAGCAACGCCGCGUGCGGGAUGACGGCCUUCGGGUUGUAAACCGAUUUCGCCUGUGACGAAGCGUGAGUGACGGUAAUGGGUAAAGAAGCACCGGCUAACUACGUG